CUACGGGGUGCUCCAGUAAGGAAUAUUGGACAAUGGGGGCAACCCUGAUCCAGCCAUGCCGCGUGAGUGAAGAAGGCCUUCGGGUUGUAAAGCUCUUUCAGAUGUGAAGAUAAUGACGGUAGCAUCAGAAGAAGCUCCGGCUAAAUUCGUGCCAGCAGCCGCGGUAAUACGAAUGGAGCGAGCGUUGUUCGGAAUCACUGGGCGUAAAGCGUAUGUAGGCGGUCAUGCAAGUCAGGAGUGAAAUCCCAGGGCUUAACCUUGGAACUGCUUUUGAAACUGCACGGCUAGAGUCCCGGAGGGGUUAGGAGAAUUCCGAGUGUAGAGGUGAAAUUCGCAGAUAUUCGGAGGAAUACCAGUGGCGUAGGCGCCUAACUGGACGGGAACUGACGCUGAGAUACGAAAGCGUGGGGAGCAAACAGGAUUAGAUACCCCGGUAGUC
Molecule: ribosomal RNA, 439 nt
Filed under: uncultured bacterium
Lineage: Bacteria
Description: partial 16S ribosomal RNA
Rfam family: Bacterial small subunit ribosomal RNA
Source: RNAcentral